This 253-nucleotide ribosomal RNA is filed under the name uncultured bacterium. RNAcentral describes it as "partial 16S ribosomal RNA". It matches the Rfam family "Bacterial small subunit ribosomal RNA", at positions 524 to 776 of the family's 1533-position model. The record is from RNAcentral.
UACGUAGGGGGCGAGCGUUGUCCGGAAUCAUUGGGCGUAAAGGGCGCGUAGGUGGCGGGACAAGCGUGCGGUGAAAGCUCGGGGCUCAACCCCGAGUCGGCCGUGCGAACUGUUUUGCUUGAGCACUGUAGAGGCAGGCGGAAUUCCGGGUGUAGCGGUGGAAUGCGUAGAGAUCCGGAAGAACACCGGUGGCGAAGGCGGCCUGCUGGGCAGUAGCUGACACUGAGGCGCGACAGCGUGGGGAGCAAACAGG